CAGUAGCCGCGGUAAUACGUAGGGUGCAAGCGUUAAUCGGAAUUACUGGGCGUAAAGCGUGCGCAGGCGGUUCGUUAAGACAGAUGUGAAAUCCCCGGGCUUAACCUGGGAACUGCAUUUGUGACUGGCGGGCUAGAGUAUGGCAGAGGGGGGUAGAAUUCCACGUGUAGCAGUGAAAUGCGUAGAGAUGUGGAGGAAUACCGAUGGCGAAGGCAGCCCCCUGGGCCAAUACUGACGCUCAUGCACGAAAGCGUGGGGAGCAAACAGGAUUAGAUACCCGAGUAGUCCCUGUCUCUUAUAC
Molecule: ribosomal RNA, 301 nt
Filed under: uncultured bacterium
Lineage: Bacteria
Description: partial 16S ribosomal RNA
Rfam family: Bacterial small subunit ribosomal RNA
Source: RNAcentral